AUGAACGCUGGCGGCGUGCCUAAUACAUGCAAGUCGAGCGAACAGAUGAGGAGCUUGCUCCUCUGACGUUAGCGGCGGACGGGUGAGUAACACGUGGAUAACCUACCUAUAAGACUGGGAUAACUUCGGGAAACCGGAGCUAAUACCGGAUAAUAUAUUGAACCGCAUGGUUCAAUAGUGAAAGACGGUUUUGCUGUCACUUAUAGAUGGAUCCGCGCCGCAUUAGCUAGUUGGUAAGGUAACGGCUUACCAAGGCAACGAUGCGUAGCCGACCUGAGAGGGUGAUCGGCCACACUGGAACUGAGACACGGUCCAGACUCCUACGGGAGGCAGCAGUUGGGAAUCUUCCGCAAUGGGCGAAAGCUUGACGGAGCAACGCCGCGUGAGUGAUGAAGGUCUUCGGAUCGUAAAACUCUGUUAUUAGGGAAGAACAAAUGUGUAAGUAACUAUGCACGUCUUGACGGUACCUAAUCAGAAAGCCACGGCUAACUACGUG
This 496-nucleotide ribosomal RNA is filed under the name uncultured bacterium. RNAcentral's name for it is "partial 16S ribosomal RNA". It matches the Rfam family "Bacterial small subunit ribosomal RNA", at positions 29 to 507 of the family's 1533-position model. The record is from RNAcentral.